This 705-nucleotide ribosomal RNA is filed under the name Phaeobacter sp. Its description in RNAcentral is "bacterial SSU rRNA". It matches the Rfam family "Bacterial small subunit ribosomal RNA", at positions 44 to 797 of the family's 1533-position model. The record is from RNAcentral. Lineage: Bacteria; Pseudomonadati; Pseudomonadota; Alphaproteobacteria; Rhodobacterales; Roseobacteraceae.
GAGCUUACCAUGCAAGUCGAGCGCACUCUUCGGAGUGAGCGGCGGACGGGUUAGUAACGCGUGGGAACGUGCCCUUCUCUAAGGAAUAGCCACUGGAAACGGUGAGUAAUACCUUAUACGCCCUUCGGGGGAAAGAUUUAUCGGAGAAGGAUCGGCCCGCGUUAGAUUAGAUAGUUGGUGGGGUAAUGGCCUACCAAGUCUACGAUCUAUAGCUGGUUUUAGAGGAUGAUCAGCAACACUGGGACUGAGACACGGCCCAGACUCCUACGGGAGGCAGCAGUGGGGAAUCUUGGACAAUGGGCGCAAGCCUGAUCCAGCCAUGCCGCGUGAGUGAUGAAGGCCUUAGGGUCGUAAAGCUCUUUCGCCAGAGAUGAUAAUGACAGUAUCUGGUAAAGAAACCCCGGCUAACUCCGUGCCAGCAGCCGCGGUAAUACGGAGGGGGUUAGCGUUGUUCGGAAUUACUGGGCGUAAAGCGCACGUAGGCGGAUCAGAAAGUAUAGGGUGAAAUCCCAGGGCUCAACCCUGGAACUGCCUUGUAAACUCCUGGUCUUGAGUUCGAGAGAGGUGAGUGGAAUUCCGAGUGUAGAGGUGAAAUUCGUAGAUAUUCGGAGGAACACCAGUGGCGAAGGCGGCUCACUGGCUCGAUACUGACGCUGAGGUGCGAAAGUGUGGGGAGCAAACAGGAUUAGAUACCCUGGUAGUCCA